GUCUACAGCCAUGCUACCCUGAACAAGCCAGAUCCCGUCUGAUCUCAGAAGCUAAGCAGAGUCGGGCAUGGUUAGCACUUAGAUGGGAGAACACCUAGAAAGACCAGGUGCUAUGGGUG
Molecule: ribosomal RNA, 119 nt
Filed under: Pteropus alecto (black flying fox)
Lineage: Eukaryota; Metazoa; Chordata; Mammalia; Chiroptera; Pteropodidae
Source: RNAcentral